UGUUUGUGUGAAUACUGUGACACUAUCUCAGUGAAAUAACAACAAAGAAUAUAAGGACACUUUUGCAGGUGUCAGGGGUGUCCAGCUGAAAAAAUUCCUGAAUGGGGCCAUGGGAUGUCCUACGCUGAAGCCCUCCUGCUCCUCCCUGCGGACCCAGUCUGGGACGCAGCUGGACACAGCACGGUCCUCUCAUUGCCUACAGCCGUUCAACACCGCUUCACUGACUCUGGGCUUGG
This is a long non-coding RNA of Athene cunicularia (burrowing owl), 236 nucleotides long. RefSeq lists it as uncharacterized. Lineage: Eukaryota; Metazoa; Chordata; Aves; Strigiformes; Strigidae. The transcript has 3 exons. The record is from RefSeq and is a predicted model, not a curated record.